GCGACCCCAGGUCAGGCGGACACCCACCUAA
This 31-nucleotide ribosomal RNA is filed under the name Tagetes subulata. RNAcentral describes it as "partial 28S ribosomal RNA". Lineage: Eukaryota; Viridiplantae; Streptophyta; Magnoliopsida; Asterales; Asteraceae. The record is from RNAcentral.